Molecule: long non-coding RNA, 684 nt
Filed under: Dermacentor andersoni
Lineage: Eukaryota; Metazoa; Arthropoda; Arachnida; Ixodida; Ixodidae
Description: uncharacterized LOC126530486
Source: RNAcentral
AACUGUGCGCGCACAAAUUAGCGCGGCGUUUGUGACGUUUGAAUUUGGCGCCUUUUCCCGCGCAUGCCAUUAGCUCCGGCCGGUGCACUGCGUUACUGCGCUAAAGAAAGUAGUUCAUCAAAGAAGCGAAGCAAAAAACUUUUAUACACUUGCAAAUCGCAACAAUUGUUCAGUAAUAACAUGAAAUUACAUAAUUUGUUAUCCAAUGGUACAAUUUAUGAUAAUAUAAGCGUGUAUUUGUAUGAGUGUACAUGUAUGAUUGCGCGUUUGCGCUGUUGAUGCUUGGCGCAUUCCGGCGAGUUCGUGCACGCCGUUAGCUUGAGAGUUUCCUGCGUUUUCUGUGUUCUUUGUGUGCUUCGCUGUGACAUCUUUGGAAUAUUCCUGCGUGUUGCUCGCUUUUUAUGGACUUGUUGCCUCGAAGAUCGCCAUGAUCGCCUCCGACUCAGCGACAUCAAGGAUUCAAAAUGAGCUGGGAGAGGCCCCAGCUGGAACGGUUCACAUAGGUUGAAGGAGUGCACCUUGAGAAGGUUAUCCUGGCACAGUUUACCAUGGCCUGCCAUGGUGGACCAGGAAAGUUUGCAAGGGCCUUGCUUCACCAUGUGUUCACAGAGGAGGAGCUCAUGGGCUAUUUGGGCUUUGGAAAUAACACCAAGGGGCAAAAAAGGCUCUUGACCCCACCAGGGU